UACGAAGGGGGCUAGCGUUGCUCGGAAUCACUGGGCGUAAAGCGCACGUAGGCGGGUUCUUAAGUCAGGGGUGAAAUCCUGGAGCUCAACUCCAGAACUGCCUUUGAUACUGGGAAUCUCGAGUCGGUGAGAGGUGAGUGGAACUGCGAGUGUAGAGGUGAAAUUCGUAGAUAUUCGCAAGAACACCAGUGGCGAAGGCGGCUCACUGGCCCGGUACUGACGCUGAGGUGCGAAAGCGUGGGGAGCAAACAGG
This 253-nucleotide ribosomal RNA is filed under the name uncultured bacterium. RNAcentral describes it as "partial 16S ribosomal RNA". It matches the Rfam family "Bacterial small subunit ribosomal RNA", at positions 524 to 776 of the family's 1533-position model. The record is from RNAcentral.